ACAUCAAAACUCACCGGCUUGAUUUCGAUUGUCGUCUCCGUCGGCGUGCCGCAAAAAUGAUUGGCGAGAGAAAAGACUUGGAGAAAGAUAUUAAUACCAGAUUCAGACCCAAACUUUCGAUUUCAGUAGGAGAACGAAUGAAUUGGGAACAGAAGAAAUAUCUGAUUUCCAUAGCUCACUGAUUUUUUGCAAAAAUUAGGAAAUUUUCUUUUGGAUUCGGUUGAAGCAUAUCUAUCCAGGAAGGGAGACGAUUCUCCAAGCCGAUAAGCCGCUGCGGAGCCGAGAUUUCUUAUACAGAUGUAUAUUUUAAAGUUAUACUUAAAACUACGUAGUUUUACUAAUGGGACAUGGAGUGGGACACAAUUUAUGGUACACUGGAUCUCAUCCGAUAUUCAAGUUUAUGAUAUGAUGUACAUCUUGCCUUUUAUAUAUAAAGAACCAUUCAAUGCAGUUACUUAAUAAUUUCAUGGUUUUUG
This 476-nucleotide long non-coding RNA is filed under the name Salvia miltiorrhiza (redroot sage). RNAcentral's name for it is "long non-coding RNA (SMIL_LNC011171)". Lineage: Eukaryota; Viridiplantae; Streptophyta; Magnoliopsida; Lamiales; Lamiaceae. The record is from RNAcentral.